RNAcentral lists this ribosomal RNA (253 nucleotides) under uncultured bacterium. RNAcentral describes it as "partial 16S ribosomal RNA". It matches the Rfam family "Bacterial small subunit ribosomal RNA", at positions 524 to 776 of the family's 1533-position model. The record is from RNAcentral.
UACGUAGGGGGCAAGCGUUGUCCGGAAUCAUUGGGCGUAAAGCGCGUGUAGGCGGCCCGGUAAGUCCGCUGUGAAAGUCGGGGGCUCAACCCUCGAAUGCCGGUGGAUACUGUCGGGCUAGAGUGCGGAAGAGGCGAGUGGAAUUCCUGGUGUAGCGGUGAAAUGCGCAGAUAUCAGGAGGAACACCAAUGGCGAAGGCAGCUCGCUGGGACGGUACUGACGCUGAGGCGCGAAAGCUAGGGGAGCAAACGGG